RNAcentral lists this long non-coding RNA (1602 nucleotides) under Eutrema salsugineum. RNAcentral describes it as "long non-coding RNA (ESAL_LNC000549)". The record is from RNAcentral. Lineage: Eukaryota; Viridiplantae; Streptophyta; Magnoliopsida; Brassicales; Brassicaceae.
ACCAAGCAACCCCGCAGAGUUGGAAUCCUUGAUGGGUCCAAAGGAGUACACCAAGUUCUGCGAAGAGGAAGACGCUGCUCACUAGAGAGUUGAAUGUCCUGAACAAAAGAGCAAAACAAGAGAAUCCAUGCUAAAGUUUCAAUCUUUCACUUCUGAUGUUUCUUACUUCUAUCAGCUUGUAUCUCUGUGAUACUAAUUUGGUUUAAAGAUCAUUCAAUGAGACUCAAGAGAGCUUUAAAUAAUAAGACAUGUCUUAAGUCUAGAACACAAAGAAGAGAACUUUCAUUUGAUAUUCCAUCAUAUAGUUAAAAGGAGAAACGGUUUACAUAUCACAAAUGGUCUACUUUUAGACCAAAACCAAAGUCGCAAGCAUAGAAAGAAAAGACUUUGAUGAUCUGUACAUAAACUCCUAUCAGAUACCGUUGGAGAUAGCCGGUGAAACAGAUACAUCCGGUGAAGGUGAAGGUGACGGUGACUCGUCGUAGGAGAUUGAAAUCAGCUGAGAUCUGAGCUUUUCUGCAUCCUCUGAGUUUCUUUUGGUGAAUCCGUUUGUGGUAAUGAUGACAGGUUUCACAUCUGAGGACUCUUCCUCAGGUGAAGUGUAAGAGAUGGCUAUGAGAGACUCACGAGCUUGUUCUUGAGAGAUGUUGUCACUAGGUUGUUCCAUCAAAUGCCUUUAAGCUUCUGCAUUUUUUUUAUAGCAAGAGGAACAAACCCAUCUUACAUUGUUUCUAUAUGAAAACACCUUUCUCAAAGUUAUAUAAAAAACACAAAUUUACAUUUUCACAAGACUUCAAAAACCCAAUUCAAAUCUCAAAUCCUUUCACGUUGAAUUAGAUGUUAUGACAAAACCCAGUUCAAAUCUCAAAUCUUUCACAUUGAGAUACAUGUUAUGGCAAAACCCAAUUACUAUGAACAAUCAAAAUUCUCCGACCAAUUAAAAUGAAGAAAUUACAUAGAUUCUAUAAAAGUAAAAACAGAACAGAAGUAAACAUGUAAAAGCUUUACAAUUUAUGUAGAAUACAGAAACGAAUCAAUCGCUAACAUACAAACUCUGUAAACUACACAGAGAAACCAAACCCUAAAGUCCGUGACAGAUUCAAACAUGAAGUCAACACAAUUUUUAGUUUUUUUUUUUGCCUCUUUUUUUUCCUUGCGAUUUUCUCGCAAAUCAGGAUAAAAAAAUAUAAACCUCAAUAAUUAUCCAAUUAAUUGAGUCACAAAAUCCCCAUCAAAUCGCGAUUUUUUUGUUCUUUUUUUUCGUUCUCUAUUUGUUUCCGACCAAAUUUCUCUUUCCCAGAAACAACAAUUUCGAUUCAUUGUGCACAAUUACGAAAGGAAAAACAGAAAACGAAAUCGGUAAAUCCAAGGAAGAAAUGGGAGGGACGGAGCAGCGAGGAAGAGAAGAAAACGCACCUCGUUGAUUCGUACGGCAAUGGAAAACGUAAAGUUCGAGAGAAAUUGGAUAAUUUUGGUUUGAUUUUUAUUGGCCAUUUUUUAAUGUUUUUCCACGUUUUUUUGUUGACCAAAAAGAUUAUAAUAUUCUUUGCCAGCUAAUUCACACGUCGACAAUUGUGUAUGCAAUUAGCAAGUGGAUUUUAA